UACUUCAGAAACCUUUCUAUUCUUGUCCUCAACUCAUUUUUGUUCCAAUUCUAUUUUGCAGAUAAUGAUGUCAAGAUGGGAGUUCUGCCUGUUGAUAACACGAUUGACCAAAGCGAGUUGUACUUUAAACGACCUUGGAGGCCCGAUUGGACAGUAACACAAUUAACGGCUUUUGUCGGGGUUUCUGUUGGAUUUUUACUCCUGAUUUUAGUUUGGCUGCGAAGGCAAAUGUCAGCGGGGAGUUCACCAGAGAUUGAAGAGGAAAAAUUAAAAGAAGAAAACAAACCAUCUCUGCGGGAAGCUAUUGCGGCCCAUGAAGAGCCUGUGAUCGAAGAGAAAAUAUCCCCACUCACCCUGGCGCCUUUAACUACAACACCACCACUCCCCCCUGUAACGACAGCACUGCUGAGGAGUAUUUAAUGUCAGUUGGUAAUGUUCUCAGCCGGUCACAACUUAAAAGUAGUUUAAAUGAUAUUCGAGGUCUUCACAAGGAGUUCUGGGACAUACCCUUGAAUCAUCCCGAAAAGUCCACAGUUGCAGGGUGCGGUGUAAAAAAUAGGUAAGUCCGUGUUAUCUUUUUUUAAAUUUAUAAUGGACUCAUUUCAUGAGACGUACAUGAAACAUUUCUUCUUUCCUACACAGUAUGCGAGGUACUAGUGAAAACACCUGUCACCAGAUUUUUGAAAAGGCUUUCUAUCAUGUAACGUGUUUGUUAAGA
Molecule: long non-coding RNA, 718 nt
Filed under: Bemisia tabaci
Lineage: Eukaryota; Metazoa; Arthropoda; Insecta; Hemiptera; Aleyrodidae
Description: lncRNA ENSASIAIIG000910
Source: RNAcentral